GAUGAACGCUGGCGGCGUGCUUAACACAUGCAAGUCGAACGAUGAAGCCCAGCUUGCUGGGUGGAUUAGUGGCGAACGGGUGAGUAACACGUGAGUAACCUGCCCUUGACUCUGGGAUAAGCCUGGGAAACUGGGUCUAAUACUGGAUAUGACUUCUCAUCGCAUGGUGGGGGGUGGAAAGAUUUAUUGGUCUUGGAUGGACUCGCGGCCUAUCAGCUUGUUGGUGAGGUAAUGGCUCACCAAGGCGACGACGGGUAGCCGGCCUGAGAGGGUGACCGGCCCCACUGGGCCUGAGACACGGCCCAGACUCCUCCGGGAGGCAGCAGUGGGGAAUAUUGCACAAUGGGCGCAGGCCUGAUGCAGCGACGCCGCGUGGGGGAGGCCGGCCUUCGGGUUGAAAACCUCUUCAGUAGGGAAGAAGCGAGAGUGACGGUACCUGCAGAAGAAGCGCCGGCUAACUACGUG
Molecule: ribosomal RNA, 465 nt
Filed under: uncultured bacterium
Lineage: Bacteria
Description: partial 16S ribosomal RNA
Rfam family: Bacterial small subunit ribosomal RNA
Source: RNAcentral